GGCCCGUAGCUCAGCCCGGUAGAGCGCCCGGCUCAUAACCGGGUGGUCGGGGGUUCGAAUCCCCCCGGGCCCAC
Molecule: transfer RNA, 74 nt
Filed under: Thermogladius calderae 1633
Lineage: Archaea; Thermoproteati; Thermoproteota; Thermoprotei; Desulfurococcales; Desulfurococcaceae
Description: tRNA-Met
Rfam family: tRNA
About the family: Transfer RNA (tRNA) molecules are approximately 80 nucleotides in length.
Source: RNAcentral